This 27-nucleotide non-coding RNA is filed under the name Mus musculus (house mouse). Lineage: Eukaryota; Metazoa; Chordata; Mammalia; Rodentia; Muridae. The record is from RNAcentral.
UAUUCUGAAGGAAGGAACGAUAUCCAA